Molecule: ribosomal RNA, 253 nt
Filed under: uncultured bacterium
Lineage: Bacteria
Description: partial 16S ribosomal RNA
Rfam family: Bacterial small subunit ribosomal RNA
Source: RNAcentral
UACGGAGGGGGCUAGCGUUGUUCGGAAUUACUGGGCGUAAAGCGCGCGUAGGCGGCUUUGUAAGUCAGAGGUGAAAGCCCGGAGCUCAACUUCGGAAUAGCCUUUGAGACUGCAUCGCUUGAAUCCGGGAGAGGUGAGUGGAAUUCCGAGUGUAGAGGUGAAAUUCGUAGAUAUUCGGAAGAACACCAGUGGCGAAGGCGGCUCACUGGACUGGUAUUGACGCUGAGGUGCGAAAGCGUGGGGAGCAAACAGG